GACGAACGCUGGCGGCGUGCCUAAUACAUGCAAGUUGAGCGCUGAAGGUUGGUACUUGUACCAACUGGAUGAGCAGCGAACGGGUGAGUAACGCGUGGGGAAUCUGCCUUUGAGCGGGGGACAACAUUUGGAAACGAAUGCUAAUACCGCAUAAAAACUUUAAACACAAGUUUUAAGUUUGAAAGAUGCAAUUGCAUCACUCAAAGAUGAUCCCGCGUUGUAUUAGCUAGUUGGUGAGGUAAAGGCUCACCAAGGCGAUGAUACAUAGCCGACCUGAGAGGGUGAUCGGCCACAUUGGGACUGAGACACGGCCCAAACUCCUACGGGAGGCAGCAGUAGGGAAUCUUCGGGGAAGGACGAAAGUCUGACCGAGCAACGCCGCGUGAGUGGAGGAGGUUGUCGGGUCGUGAAACUCUGUUGGUAGAGAAGAACGUUGGUGAGAGUGGAACGCUCAUCAAGUGACGGUAACUACCCAGAAAGGGACGGCUAACUACGUG
This 497-nucleotide ribosomal RNA is filed under the name uncultured bacterium. RNAcentral's name for it is "partial 16S ribosomal RNA". It matches the Rfam family "Bacterial small subunit ribosomal RNA", at positions 28 to 507 of the family's 1533-position model. The record is from RNAcentral.